RNAcentral lists this ribosomal RNA (381 nucleotides) under uncultured archaeon. RNAcentral describes it as "bacterial SSU rRNA". It matches the Rfam family "Archaeal small subunit ribosomal RNA", at positions 345 to 727 of the family's 1478-position model. The record is from RNAcentral.
AAACUUUACACUGCGCGAAAGCGCGAUAAGGGGACCCUGAGUGUGUGCGCAAUGCGUAUGCUUUUCAGAUGCCUAAAAAGCAUCUGGAAUAAGAGCCGGGCAAGACCGGUGCCAGCCGCCGCGGUAACACCGGCGGCUCGAGUGGUGGCCGCUAUUAUUGGGCUUAAAGGGUCCGUAGCCGGACCGAAUAGUCCAUUGGGAAAUCUUACAGCUCAACUGUCAGGCUGCCAAUGGAUACUGUUGGUCUUGGGACCGGGAGAGGCAAGAGGUACCUCGAGGGUAGGAGUGAAAUCCUGUAAUCCUUGAGGGACCGCCAGUGGCGAAAGCGUCUUGCUAGAACGGGUCCGACGGUGAGGGACGAAAGCUAGGGGCACGAACCGG